Betta splendens (Siamese fighting fish) is the source of this 1163-nucleotide long non-coding RNA. RefSeq lists it as uncharacterized. The record is from RefSeq and is a predicted model, not a curated record. The transcript has 2 exons. Lineage: Eukaryota; Metazoa; Chordata; Actinopteri; Anabantiformes; Osphronemidae.
AUCCCACGAGACGGCGACGACCGAGAGGGAAAGUGGACACGCGCCAAUGAAAGCAGGGCCGACUCUCGGCGGAUCUGGGUAGUGUAGGAUGGGACCGAGAAAAUGCUGCAAAUAAAAACACAAAGCGCCAGAAAAAUGGACAUGGUGGUACAAUGGUGGGGCUGCAGAAAAAAAGGGGCGCGCGUUGAGUCUUGUAGGUGUAAAGUACUAGAGGGGUGACACAUGCAGAAGUGACUGGUCCCUGUUGGAAUAUGACGCGAGGAAAGGAUACGGUUGUAAAACAAAUAAAAUUAAUUUAUAGACAAGUUAAACGUCUAAAACAUAUUUUGUGGCGUUUAAAUUACCUAUAGAACUUAAUAGAAUUAAAAAACAUGGGUAAUCCUGUCCUAACAGUCAAACCUACACCACAAUAUCUGGUGUCAUGCCUGUUUUUUGCCCUCAGUUUCACCCAAGUGCACUUCAGAUGGCCACAGAGUCCUAGAAAUACUAUUCUGGCAAAUGUAAGUGUGACCUUAGAGUUUAACCUGCCUCUGUUUGUCAUUCAAGUGCUCCUGUUUGGGCUUCAAUCAGUCUACGAUUAGGAUGCAGGAUGGAUGCCUUCAUAAAGAACACAGAAUAAUCUGCUCUGCUCUGAGGAGCCAUGAUGUUUCUACCAACACUGCAACAACGCAUAUCCAGAACAUCAUCUACAAAGCAACCGGUUUGACAGCAUGCACAUAUACUGUACAAUAAAGCAAGAGGUAAAGUAUCUGAAGCACACGAACACAAGCAGUAACAACACCAGUCUCAAUAUAUUCUUGUGAUGCAUAACAACACAAAGAGAGAAGAAUAUACACAAAUGGCACAAUAGGCUGCUAUUCUGGCCAAACGAACAAAACCCCCCCUCAUUAUGACGUAGACCUAGACAACCUAGAACGCACAAGAGCAGGUAGCCUGAUGUUGCUCCACUGUUCCCACGUGGAUUCACACCGUCAGCGAAACAGAGGGGGAAAAAACACAAUGAGGUCCAUGUGCAGCACAUCAACUAAGAGGCACAAACGGAAUCCACAAAGAAAAGAAGCCAUCUCACCAGAAUAUACUGUUAAGAUGAACACAUGUUUAAUAUAUGAAUAUUUGGACUUUUUCCAAAACGCAAUGAAGACUAAAGAAUGACAACACUCAAA